Molecule: ribosomal RNA, 253 nt
Filed under: uncultured bacterium
Lineage: Bacteria
Description: partial 16S ribosomal RNA
Rfam family: Bacterial small subunit ribosomal RNA
Source: RNAcentral
UACAGAGGUCUCAAGCGUUGUUCGGAUUCAUUGGGCGUAAAGGGUGCGUAGGUGGCGGGGCAAGUUGGAUGUGAAAUCCCGGAGCUUAACUCCGGAACUGCAUUCAAUACUGCCUUGCUAGAGUACUGGAGAGGAGAUUGGAAUUUACGGUGUAGCAGUGAAAUGCGUAGAUAUCGUAAGGAAGACCAGUGGCGAAGGCGGGUCUCUGGACAGUUCCUGACACUGAGGAGCGAAAGCGUGGGGAGCGAACAGG